RNAcentral lists this ribosomal RNA (416 nucleotides) under uncultured Myxococcales bacterium. RNAcentral describes it as "bacterial SSU rRNA". It matches the Rfam family "Bacterial small subunit ribosomal RNA", at positions 355 to 776 of the family's 1533-position model. The record is from RNAcentral. Lineage: Bacteria; Pseudomonadati; Myxococcota; Myxococcia; Myxococcales.
UGGGGAGUAUUGCGCAAUGGGCGAAAGCCUGACGCAGCCACGCCGCGUGAGUGAUGAAGGCCUUCGGGUUGUAAAGCUCUGUCGGGAGGGACGAAUACCCGCAAGGGUUUGACGGUACCUCGCAAGAAAGCACCGGCUAACUCCGUGCCAGCAGCCGCGGUAAUACGGAGGGUGCAAGCGUUGCUCGGAAUUAUUGGGCGUAAAGCGCACGCAGGCGGCUGAUUAAGUCGGAUGUGAAAACCCCGAGCUCAACUCGGGAACUGCAUUCGAAACUGGUCAGCUGGAGUUCGGGAGAGGGAAGCGGAAUUCCUGGUGUAGAGGUGAAAUUCGUAGAUAUCAGGAGGAACACCGGUGGCGAAAGCGGCUUCCUUGCCCGCAACUGACGCUCAUGUGCGAAAGCGUGGGGAGCAAACAGG